This 253-nucleotide ribosomal RNA is filed under the name uncultured bacterium. RNAcentral's name for it is "partial 16S ribosomal RNA". It matches the Rfam family "Bacterial small subunit ribosomal RNA", at positions 524 to 776 of the family's 1533-position model. The record is from RNAcentral.
UACGUAGGGCGCAAGCGUUAUCCGGAAUUAUUGGGCGUAAAGAGCUCGUAGGCGGUUUGUCGCGUCUGCCGUGAAAGUCCGGGGCUCAACUCCGGAUCUGCGGUGGGUACGGGCAGACUAGAGUGAUGUAGGGGAGACUGGAAUUCCUGGUGUAGCGGUGAAAUGCGUAGAUAUCGGGAGGAACACCAGUGGCGAAGGCGAGUCUCUGGGAUGAUGCUGACGCUGAGGCGCGAAAGCCAGGGGAGCAAACGGG